Molecule: long non-coding RNA, 4324 nt
Filed under: Equus caballus (horse)
Lineage: Eukaryota; Metazoa; Chordata; Mammalia; Perissodactyla; Equidae
Description: lncRNA (ENSECAG00000056934.1)
Source: RNAcentral
AAAAGUUCCAACAGAGAAUGCCGGCAGUAAUUCCGCCAAUUCCACAUGUGGGGUGUAGUCACUAUACUAACCAGAAAAUCAAGCUGCUACCAAAGAUUGACGAAUGAAGAUAUUCAUCAAAGAAUUAUUUAUAAUAAAGAAAGAGUGAGAUGAGAAAAAUAAGACUCGGCAAGAUUAAAUAAAUGGAGGAGCCUGGACUGAGACCUUUGUUGGUCUGACCUCAAACUCUAGUCCCUUUAUCUCUGCAACUCAAAAUAUUAACAGUGAUCACCUCUGGGUAGAAAUAUGACAUGUGACUUUUUUUCUCUUUCAUACUUUUUUGUAUUUUUCAAAUUCAAUAAACAAGGGAUUACUUCUUAGGAAAAAAAAUUCUGAAAGAAAAAUUCCUUAAACGUGACUAGAGCCAUGAUGUGGUUAAAAAACGACUGCUGCAUGCGAUGGAUUCCUUCUGAAAACGGGUUAAUUAUGAACACUAGGAGCUUUCAUAUUCUGCUGAAGAUCCUGUUCAAAUCUAAUUUCUCAAAGUAUAUUGCUAGAUGCUAAUGAAAACCCAAAGAGACACACGCCUUCAGGAGAUGUAUAGCCAAUGAAUUUUCUGUUGUUUUUAUAGUGAACAACUUUUUUAUAUCCUAACAUUUUUACGCCAGCCAUGAAAAAGAUAAAUAAAUAUUUAUGACAUUCACUCAAUUCCACAGUAACUACUAAGUUGCUCAUGUUCUCACUUUGGUUUGAAAUGUGCAUAUUUUCGUGGCUGGGAGUCUCGACCCCAAAUGAGAAAGCCCCAGAAGGCUGUCCUUUCCAGACCCUAAAACUACUCAUUUGACUCCCCAAAGGGAUCUGUCUUGUAACAGGAUGGAACCAGCUCAACCAAGGCAGCUGUAGGCUGGACAGACACAGACCCAGUGCCGCCCAACAAACAGCCACGGACACAGCAGCAUUGCUAUGGACACUGGUUUUACUCAGGUUUUACCUGGUAUCAGAAGUGUUCGAUCAAGAACCACAAACAAGGUGAUUCAGGAAACCCGCAGGAAUAAAUGAGGACUGAUCGCAACCAUUCACCUGUCUUUCAGAAACUUUCCUUUACCAAAAAUGGCCCAAUAAACCCCUCAGUAUAUUGACUGAGGUUCCACUUGAGGGAGAUUUAUACAGUGAUAACACACGAAUUAUAAAGAAUAGGCCAGAAUUCACCAUUGGGUGGUUCAUGAGCUAAAAACAGCCCACAGGACAGUUAUCUUUAGCCUACAAGUGUUUUUUGUUUGUUGUUUGUUUUAACUGAUUUAGUGCCAAAGUUUUUAACAGAGGGACUUCCCAUUAAAAAAAACCAAGAUUUUUCUUGAAAAAGCUGGAGACCUGGCUACUUUGGUCCAGCGUUCCCUUACUGCAGCCGUGGGGUUGGAGCUCAACAGUGGCUUACCCAGUGCUCCCCCACCCUGCCCCCGGACUGGUAAGCUCACUAACGUCAGCCGCGUGGACUUUGCAGGCGCCUGAGCUUCUAGUUGGUAUAAUACGAGACACCUGAAAGGCCAUUAGACUGCCCCACACCUACCACGCAGGUCCUCAUUUCACCCAAAUCCAUACAGUCCGCCCUCCAUAUCUGCGAGUUUCCCAUGCUCAGGGUUCACAUCUUCAGAUACACAGGGCCAACUGUAUUCGUUGUAGUAUGCCAUUUUACAUGAGACUUGAGUGUCCAUGGAUUUUGAUAUCUGCAGGGCUUCCUGGAACCCAUUGCCCAUGGAUACCAAGGGACGACCGUAUAAUCAUGUUUCUCCUUAGACUGCUCUUUGGCCCCAGGCAAUAGGAGAAUGGAAGGAAAUGCAGAGGAGGCUACACAAAGAAAAGGCUAUUUCACUACCAUCUACCCAAGCACAGUCUCCGGGCUAACAGUUGACAACAAGGUGCUCCAUGAACUGGCCCUGCUUACCUUCCCAGCCUCACUUUCCCUGGCUCUUGCCACCCCCUUACUUUGUGAUCCAUCAGUACCACCUUACUUAGGGCUCCCCAUACAUGCAAGUGUCCAUCUCUACCUUAGCGCUGGUCCCUUGACCUAGAACGUACUUCCUUCAUGCCUUCAUUGAUGGUGUCUUCCUCAGCAGACUGCACACACGAUUCAGGCAAUUAGUUUCUGUCACGCUCACCUUGGAAGCCCAGCAUGGUACUCAGAACAUACUUAUUGCAUGAAAGACAUACCAGCAAAUUCCAAGUCACCUCAAAAUGUUUAGCUUAGAUGCUGACCCUUCCGUACCCUGGCAAAGUUCAUCCUUCUGUCUUAUUUUUUGCCUCAGCUAAGACUUUUUGUUGGUCAUACUUAGCCACCACAUUGCUAUCUGUUUAUUUGUGCUUUCUGGACUAAUCCUGGAUUUUGAGGAGAAAGCCUGUGUCUUUUUUACGGCUAUAUCCAUGGAGCCCACCACUGUGCCAGUACCCUGCAGGGGCUCAAGAUAUACUGGGUAAAUGGAUAAAGUAAUAGAGCACAAGGUCCUUUCCCAGAAAUCCUUACUCCUUGUCACGGACACAGAGGUGCCACUAUCCUCCUCGUCACCAUCAGCAUAAUCCUCAUCAAAACUGUCAUCAUUGCCACCAGCACCACCACCUCCAUCAGACAGAGAGCAGAAACCCAGUGCACGCAGCUUUAUGCAAAGGAGCCAGGGUGCAAUGUAAGCCUUUGUGUCUCACGUCGCUGAAGUGCAGCCAAGAGGAUGGAGAGGACCAGCAUCGCGAGGACCCGACUAUUCCACAUGUUGCACCCACUUUUUCACACCCUCCCAACUCAAACGUAAAAGGAAACAACUGCCUGUUUAGAUCUUGUUCAAGACAAAGUCACCAUCAUAUCAGCAACCUGUAAGGCACCUAGAAGACAGCUAGCCGGAUAAUGCAUGCAUAAUUCAAUUCCAGUAGUGGCAGCCUGACGUCUUUACCCACAGAACAUAUCUCAUAUCUUCUUCCUCUGGAGUUUUCUAUAAGUUAUGGAUUAAUAAACUUUCCCUAAGAAUGCAGCUUUAUUAAUCUUGCAAAAUACUCAGAAAAAGAAAAUAUUUUAUUAUGCCCAUCUAAAGUGAACUACGAUAAACAAAGUCCCAUGUGUGCUGACAAGAAAUAAAGUCGUUUUCUGCAGCAAAUUGUGUUUGCAGUGGUGGCUGUUUCUCCGCCAGUCAGAUCUGGAGUAAACAAAAUAUCAAACUAUAUCCUGACCUGUGAAGACAAUAGGGGCCACCAAGAUCACAGCCUCCCAUGACCCAAUUUCUGAGGGGAGAAAGAGAAAAUUCGCUCAGGGAGGCAUUCGUUCAAGCUUCUCCUCUUAAAGCUGGAAGAACAAAAACAAACAUGGAGGCACAGGGCACAGAGAGCGGGGUCCGUCAUCGUUCGGUGACCGUCUUCUCUUCAUCAUAUCGAGGCACGUCCUCUUCAAAGAGAACAGCUGCGGGACUUGUGCAAUCUCCCUCAGUUGUCUGAAGGUGGAGAGGAACCAGCGUGUGUGGCAUGUCAGCGUGCACUAGGCACAGUUCUAAUUGUGGUGAAGGUGCUACUUCUUCUGAUUUACAAAACAGCCCUAUAAGAACUCAUUUUUCAAUGGAGGCUCCAAGAGUUAAGUGUCUCGCCCACGGCCACCAGCGCAAGUCAUUGGCCAAGACUUGGUUUGACCAUCUAUGAAACAGGGAGAGUAAUGCCCAUCCUGUAUAUCUGACAGGAGUGUUCUGAAGAUCAAAGGAGAAGAUAUCUCCUUACUUUGCGUACGUGUGUGCGUGCACAUGAAAUGCUACACAAAUGAAAGAUCACUGUAGCUAGAGUGUAGAUUUAUCUGUACAUUCACCUGCUGGCUUCCUUUCUUCCCUCUAAAUGUCAAGUAUUUUAAUGUUUAAACAUACCCAAAGAAUCAGGGUCACCAGGAGUCGGAGCUGACUUGACAGCAAGUGAUGACAACAACCAAAGAAUCAGUCCUAAAACCUCAUUCACUGCAAAGGGGAAAUAAACAGUUCCAGCUCCACUGUUAAACCCCUGGUGACCUGCAACAUAUGUGCCGAGUCCCGAGCCUAAGCAGUCUCCUCAUCUAUGGAACGAGAGGGCUGCUCUGCCAGGCUCCAGGGGCCCAUCUAGCGUGGGCAUUCCAUGAUUCCAGACGGGCUGCGAUGUCACCACAGGCGCUGCUCUAGAGCUGCAUGUUUACAGGGCCACGUUUCCACUCAUCCUCUCUCUGCCAUGUUGAAAUGCAGGCUCCCAAUCCCUUAUCCAACAUCCCUGGGUCUGAUGUGUUCAGAUCACAGAUUUUAUUUGCAUUUUAGAAAGGCAGCAUAUACUACGCCAUGCACUUUCCUUUUAUUUGUAUUCC